This 253-nucleotide ribosomal RNA is filed under the name uncultured bacterium. RNAcentral describes it as "partial 16S ribosomal RNA". It matches the Rfam family "Bacterial small subunit ribosomal RNA", at positions 524 to 776 of the family's 1533-position model. The record is from RNAcentral.
UACGUAGGGUGCAAGCGUUAAUCGGAAUUACUGGGCGUAAAGCGUGCGCAGGCGGUGAUGUAAGACAGAUGUGAAAUCCCCGGGCUCAACCUGGGAACUGCAUUUGUGACUGCAUCGCUAGAGUACGGUAGAGGUGGAUGGAAUUCCGCGUGUAGCAGUGAAAUGCGUAGAUAUGCGGAGGAACACCGAUGGCGAAGGCAAUCCCCUGGACCUGUACUGACGCUCAUGCACGAAAGCGUGGGGAGCAAACAGG